CCAAGCGCGACGAGCUGCUGGAGUUCAUCCGCCAGUGCGGCAGCUUCGACCCCGCAGCGACGAGCGGGGAGACAGCAGCCAGGCGGUGAGCCGGCACUACCAACAAUCGCCCAAGCUCUGCGGUUCUCUUUACAUUCCCAUAUUUGCAGCCACUUACUGAGUGUUUACAUGUGGGGGGAAACCAGUACACUCGCAGAAAACGUACGAAUGUGCGCAUGGGGGCAACGUUCUAUCCCGUGCAGAUGGAAAGGAUUCCACAAUUGUGUUCCACUGCCUCCUGGCAAGCCAGGGUAUGACUCAUCCUCGAUCUCCACCGGAACCAGAAUCAGAAUCAGAAAGGGUUUUAUUCGCCAUGAAAGUUCGCACAGACAAGGAAUUUACUUUGGCUGGAAGGUGCAUACAUUCAACAUUUAGGAAUCUUAAAUCUUAAAUAAGUGGUUUACAAGUCUAACUAUACUAAAGGUACAAGUCUAACUAAUACUAAGGAGCUAAAGUAUGUAAAAAUUGAAUAAAAUAAAAUCUAAAAUAUACAAUAGCUAUAAUAUACAAUAUAAAAUUACAAAAAUGCAAAUAGGGUAACAGUGCAAAUAUGGCAGGGUGUCAUUGUGCAGAUAUUGUGUUAAAGUCAGUUUGAGCGUUAAAGUCAGUUUGAGCCCUUGGCCUUGUUGAAGAGGCCAGCAGCGGAUGGGAAGAAACUGUUUUUGUGGCGUGAGGUUUUGGUCCUGAUGGACUGCAGCCUUCUGCCGGAGGGGAGUAGCUGGAACAGAGAGUGUCCAUGGUGGGAAGAGUUGGCCACAAUCUUCCUCGCUCGCCUCAGGGUCCUCGAGGUGUACAGGUCCUCGAGGGUAGGAAGAUUGCAGCCAAUCACCUUCUCAGCAGUACGGAUGAUACGCUGCAGUCUGCUCUUGUCCUUGGCAGUGGUAGCAGCGUACCAGAUAGUGAUGUAGGAGGUGAGGAUGGACUCAAUAAUGGUUGUGUAGAAGUGCACCAUCAUUGUCUUUGGCAGGUCGAAUUUCUUCAGCUGUCGUAGGAAGUACAUCCUCUGUUGUGCUCUCUUUAUGAGGGAGCUGAUGUUCAGUUCCCACUUGAGGUCCUGGGAGAGGAUAGUGCCCAGGAAGCGGAAGGACUCCACAGUGUUGACUGGGGAGUCGCACAGGGUGAUGGGGGUGAGUGGGGCUGUAUUCUUCCUGAAGUACACAACCAUCUCCACUGUCUGAAGAGCAUUAAGCUCUAAGUUGUUCUGGCUACACCAGGUCACCAGGUUGUCAGCUUCCCACCUAUAGUCGACUCAUCCCCACCAGAGAUGAGCCCAAUGAUGGUGGUGUCGUUCGCAAACUUCAAGAGUUUGAGGGAGGGAUGACUGGAGGUGCAGCUAUUGGUGUACAGGGAGAAGAGCAGAGGGGAAAGGACGCAGCCCUGAGGAGAUCCGAUGCUGAUGGACCGGGAGUCAGAGACUUGUGUUCCCAGCCUAACGCACUGCUUCCUGUCAGACAGGAAGUCUGUGAUCCACCUGCAGGUGGAGUUCCACACGGCGAUUCACAGUCCUGCGUGAUAAACUGACUUUUUCAAAUUUGCUUUUGAUCUCCGGACACAAGAUGUCUGCUGUCUGUACCAUGUAUUCUUUUACAAACUUGCCUUCGGAGAAAGUGGUAAUGAGUGGUAAUGUUGGUGAGAAGAAGUUUUUAAAGAAAAUUUAAAUCGAAGUGAAGAAGGAAAUUAUUGAAAAGUUUGUAUAAUUAAUGAUUUUUCAAACUUUAAUUAUGUUUUCUGUGCUUAAAACUCUUUAAAAAAAACUGUGGGGUCUAGAACAGACUCGUGAAAUUCGGAGAGAACUCGGAGUUAAGUUUUGUUUCUUUUGUUGAAUUACACAAAGCGUAACAGUUAUGUAUAUAACUUUUGUUAUAUAAAAUUCCUAGUAAGAUA
Molecule: long non-coding RNA, 1923 nt
Organism: Lethenteron reissneri (Far Eastern brook lamprey)
Lineage: Eukaryota; Metazoa; Chordata; Hyperoartia; Petromyzontiformes; Petromyzontidae
Source: RefSeq, a predicted model, not a curated record